Long non-coding RNA from Aricia agestis (brown argus), 127 nucleotides. RefSeq lists it as uncharacterized. Lineage: Eukaryota; Metazoa; Arthropoda; Insecta; Lepidoptera; Lycaenidae. The transcript is spliced from 2 exons. The record is from RefSeq and is a predicted model, not a curated record.
AGGCCGUGUUCACACCAAACCGACUGUGAGCCGCCGAAUGUGAGCAGGCUCACUGUGAGCCCCAGUGUGAACGAAAAAGUGAAUAUGUAUGGAAAUACAAUAAACUGCGCAACGUUCGCUCACAUUC